GGAUAUAUAUCUUCACACUGAUAACACAUUCCGAAACUAAUCAUUUCUUCCACAUUCUAAACUUGGACGCAUCCAAUUCUAUCCAUCUCUUAUAUGGAUGUCCUUCACUGUUCAACCAUUACAGCCAAUACGGCACAACAUCGUCCCUGACAAUUGAACCACACCCAUAUCUUCGGUCACCGGCUUUCAAUCUACCAAACGGAACUCAAUAUUCACGAAUUCGAUUUCUCACUCAACAACAUAGAGAUUCAAUUUCUAUUUCCCCUCACAAUACUCUUGAUCUACGUUUGUUCAACAAUCGGAACGGAUCCCAAUCUCUCGACUCUGGAGUUACCUCAAAAGAAAACAAAACCAAGGAAAGAAAAGAAAAGAAAAAAGAAAAAAGACAAACAAGAGAUAGCACCAAGCUUGCCCCGGGCUCUACGCUUUCACAGUUUUUGGGCCCCUUCUACUUCUUUCUUCAACAGGUUCGUACUUAUCCCCGGAUACCAAACAUUACACAUCCGAUGUUGACUACUUUUUCCUUCCUAAUCAUCCAUCAAACCUUCUAAACUAUCCACUCAUCAAUUUACUGGCUUUUCUUAACC
RNAcentral lists this long non-coding RNA (587 nucleotides) under Physcomitrium patens. RNAcentral's name for it is "long non-coding RNA (PPAT_LNC014899)". Lineage: Eukaryota; Viridiplantae; Streptophyta; Bryopsida; Funariales; Funariaceae. The record is from RNAcentral.